AAGGGGAAAAAAAAAAAAACAAAGUUAGACUACUAAUUUCUGGGGUGGUUAGCAUGAAUUCUUUAUGUUUUUUUUCCUAGUAUUUCUUCUUUUUGGGCUUUCUUUUUCUUCAUAUUU
This 117-nucleotide non-coding RNA is filed under the name Amorphochlora amoebiformis. Lineage: Eukaryota; Cercozoa; Chlorarachniophyceae. The record is from RNAcentral.